This 214-nucleotide long non-coding RNA is filed under the name Capsicum annuum. RNAcentral's name for it is "long non-coding RNA (CANN_LNC017906)". The record is from RNAcentral. Lineage: Eukaryota; Viridiplantae; Streptophyta; Magnoliopsida; Solanales; Solanaceae.
CUUGCAGCUCCAACCUAUGGGCAUAACCCUAGGACUACCAACUCGACUACCCCAAAGCUCUCUUAAUUACUGAAAAUGACCCACCGAUACGCCCUAGCCUUCUAUCUUAAUUCGCUUCUUCCAGGCCUUCCUAUCAAGGGUCAUGUCCUCAGUAAGCUGUAACUACUCCAUGUUACAUCUAAUCACCUCUCUCCAAUAUUUUUUACACCUACCC